This 449-nucleotide ribosomal RNA is filed under the name uncultured bacterium. RNAcentral describes it as "partial 16S ribosomal RNA". It matches the Rfam family "Bacterial small subunit ribosomal RNA", at positions 29 to 523 of the family's 1533-position model. The record is from RNAcentral.
AACGAACGCUGGCGGCAGGCCUAACACAUGCAAGUCGAACGCUGUAGCAAUACAGAGUGGCAGACGGGUGAGUAACGCGUGGGAACGUGCCCUUCGGUUCGGGAUAACUCAGGGAAACUUGAGCUAAUACCGGAUACGCCCUUUGGGGGAAAGAUUUAUUGCCGAAGGAUCGGCCCGCGUCCGAUUAGCUAGUUGGUGAGGUAAAGGCUCACCAAGGCGACGAUCGGUAGCUGGUCUGAGAGGAUGAUCAGCCACACUGGGACUGAGACACGGCCCAGACUCCUACGGGAGGCAGCAGUGGGGAAUAUUGGACAAUGGGCGCAAGCCUGAUCCAGCCAUGCCGCGUGAGUGAUGAAGGCCCUAGGGUUGUAAAGCUCUUUCAGCGGGGACGAUAAUGACGGUACCCGCAGAAGAAGCCCCGGCUAACUUCGUGCCAGCAGCCGCAGUAA